CAAUGGAGGUUUCAUUUAUUAUGGUUUAAAAAAUUAUAGCAAGAAUAAUUGCGAAGCUUUCUGUGAUUUUUUUUUCUUGUAGAGUUAUCCACCCUUGUACAGCAUAAAAGACAUGCAACUACCCACUGCUUUAUGGAGCGGGGGCAAGGACUGGCUGGCAGACACCAGUGACAUCAAUAUCUUACUGACUGAAAUCCCCACGUUAGUGUACCACAAGAACAUUCCCGAGUGGGACCAUCUGGAUUUUAUCUGGGGUUUGGAUGCCCCCUGGAGGCUGUAUAAUGAAGUAGUCAGUCUAAUGAAGAAAUACCAGUGAGUGCCAAGACUUGAGAUGCUUCCCCUUCACUAGGGGAAAAAAGGACAGAUGUUUGCUUAAUUCCUGCAAAAUACUUGUGUUUUCCUGGUCUAGAUCAUUUGUAUUUUUUAUGUGCAAGAAAACGAUGAUGUUGAAGACAUACAUGGGUCUGGUCAGUAAGAAGCACGCUGGCUGUCUUCUGCUUCAUUCUGACUGACAAGCCAGAGUCACAACCAGCGAUGCCUUUGAAGUUUUUAGAAAGUAUGGGUGUUACGUGAAGAAGCCAUUGCAAUCCUCUUGUUUACUUUUUACGGUCGUUUUCGGUGUCUGCAUGCUGUGCAUAUACAUGCCUAUGUGUGUGCCCUGUGCUGGCCAGAGCCUCCUUGUGUGGAGGUAAGGGCUCACAUCAGGGUAUCUUCCUCAGACACUUUCCACUUUACUUUUUGAGACCUGGUCUCUCGACGAACCAGUCAGUAGCUUGCUAUUCCAGUUAGACUGGCUGACCAGGGAGCCUCCAGAAUCUGUCCGUCUCUACCUUCCCCCUCACCAGGUCUACGGAGGGUGAUGUCCCAGCCAGCAUUUUUACACUGGUUCUAGGGACAGGAACUCAGGUUCUCAUGCUUGAAUAGCAAGCCCUUUCUUCACCAAACCAUUGCCUCAAACCCUCUGUGAUCGAAAAGCUGCUCAAUUACCUUUAUGUUCCCACCCAAUGCAAGUGAACGAGCACAAGACAUUUCAAGCUGUUGUUUGUGAGCAAAAAUCAAUCUGCCAGUGACUUGAACAUGCUAGGAGAAACUCCUCGCUCUGAGCUUGACAAACCUGCAGUCCAGGUUCUCCAGAGAUUGAGACAGGGAGGCUGCUGUUACAUUUAGGGUUCAUUUGGAGAGUGAGACUUUGUCUCUACAAAACCAAAGACAAAGGAGAAGAAGAAAAAAAAAACCCUAAAGUACUCAGUUCUCAUCUGUUAGCCUCAGAGGGCUUAGAGAGUUCCUGUGUUUACCUAUCCGAACAACAUUUUCAUGUCUUUAUGCAGUAGCUACCUAGUGAAAUCCAGUGUUAUCCCAGCUUCUCCAGGCGUAAACAUUCUCUCUUCAAUCUCAUCAGACCUCAGUAGCAAGCAUUUAGUGAAUAUUUAGAUUUUUCAGGCCAAGCCAAGACAAAAAUGAAUAGAAUAAAAGAAAAAAGAGCCCAGACUCUUGAAAGCGGUUUGCACUGAUUUAAAAAUAAAAAAAAAGAAUCUUGAAGAAUGACAUGAUAAACUGUGUUGGUUCCGCAUGUGUAGUCGGAUCCCUUUUCUGUGGAGAACGUUCUGUGGAGGGACAAACCACUAAUUUGCCCCAAGUGAAUGUGGCUGUAGUGACAGCGACAGUGCCUCUGAUCUGAGAAGCAGGGCUGGCUGCCGGUGACAAGCAUCCCAGUUCCUUUCCCCAGAGAUGAAGCGGAUGUUUUCAGACAGAGCUCGGCUCAGGAAUUUCGCUUGGAGAAUCAGUGUUUAUGUGCACAAUGUUUUAGUGAGCCUGCUCUGCGCCUGCAUAUGGGGAAGCCCUCGACUGUUCACCGGGCUCGUGGGCGACGGCUGCCGUCAGCUGGACAGUGGAUAAGUUUUCUGACGUAGUCACCACAGAUUCAGGGAUAUCGCUUUGUGUCGACUCCUAAGGAAGGCAGGACGAUAUGACUUGGUAACAUUGUAAAGGUUCACAUUUAAACUUUUCAAUAAAUCUCAGCCUCACAGGCCUGAACAUCUA
This 2040-nucleotide long non-coding RNA is filed under the name Rattus norvegicus (Norway rat). RNAcentral describes it as "long non-coding RNA NONRATT003720". The record is from RNAcentral. Lineage: Eukaryota; Metazoa; Chordata; Mammalia; Rodentia; Muridae.